CCUACGGGAGGCAGCAGUGAGGAAUAUUGGUCAAUGGACGAGAGUCUGAACCAGCCAAGUAGCGUGAAGGAUGACUGCCCUAUGGGUUGUAAACUUCUUUUAUAUGGGAAUAAAAUGUUCCACGUGUGGGAUUUUGUAUGUACCAUAUGAAUAAGGAUCGGCUAACUCCGUGCCAGCCGCCGCGGUAAUACGGAGGAUCCGAGUGUUAUCCGGAUUUAUUGGGUUUAAAGGGAGCGUAGGUGGAUUGUUAAGUCAGUUGUGAAAGUUUGCGGCUCAACCGUAAAAUUGCAGUUGAAACUGGCAGUCUUGAGUACAGUAGAGGUGGGCGGAAGUCGUGGUGUAGCGGUGAAAUGCUUAGAUAUCACGAAGAACUCCGAUUGCGAAGGCAGCUCACUGGACUGCAACUGACACUGAGGCUCGAAAGUGUGGGUAUCAAACAGGAUUAGAUACCCGGGUAGUC
This 460-nucleotide ribosomal RNA is filed under the name uncultured bacterium. RNAcentral describes it as "partial 16S ribosomal RNA". It matches the Rfam family "Bacterial small subunit ribosomal RNA", at positions 338 to 795 of the family's 1533-position model. The record is from RNAcentral.